AACCCUGAACUCUGGCUGAAAUCUGCCUGAACUUGCUUACUCUGGGUAUGUCGGUUCCAAAACACCGGAUAUGAGUUAGCGUAAUUACGCUCGACUUGUUAAUCCUGGGUUAAUGCGCGGGCACGGCAGGUAUAUAAAGACAUUCUCAAUGGAUGGCAGAUUUCACGAGUCACCACGGAAACGAGUGGAGAAAAAAAGAGAGCCCUUUACUUUAGCGAGACGGAGUUGGAGAUUUUGAUGGCGGCUUACGAGGAAUUUAAACCUAUCAUCACCAGGAAAAGUAAUACCACUGCAUCAGUGAGAGAGUGAAUGGCUGAUUGGCAAAAAAUCACUGAUAGAUCAAACAUGUGAGUAUAAUCUCAUUUCCAUUGUCAUAGCGAUGCAAACUGCUUAUGGGGAGAUGAGAAGCAGUUUGCAUAUAUAUCUAAGACAAAUCAAUAAUUUGUGGUUCCUCUGUUAUCAGCUGUAAUACCUCCAAAAACGAGGAGGACCUUGACGCAAGUCAAAAUGAAGCACAAGAACAUUCUCCAACAAGGUAAAAUAUAAAUAUCAAGAUACCAACGCACAGAAUUGUCAUGUAAUACAAUAUUCCAUGUAAUGUGGUUAUGUAGCCAAUAGAAAAAAGGCUGAGGCCCGUCAAACAGGCGGGGGUCCACCUCCACCUUCCCUCACCCCAGCCGUGGAGCUGGCACUGUCCCUCAAUAAAGGGAGACCAGUCGUGGAUGGGAUUCCAGGGGGCACCUCAUCAGACGUGGCCAAAACCAUAAGUGGCUUGGUUAAAUGUAGGUAUAUCACAUUAUAAGUCAUGAUGAAUUGAUGAUUUUACUGUGCAUCAGUGUUGAAUACAUCAAAUAUACACUCACCAUUUAACAAACACAUUUAGAAAGCAUUACUUUUAUGUGUUAUGCAUUUCAAUUGUAUAUUUUAUUCAAUAUUACAGCAUAUGAUGUCUAAUGUAAUCUAAUGUAUUCUCAUUUAUUAGGUGUUUGCUUGAGAAUAUACAUAGAGUAUCUGACUGGUUUUUAUUGUAUUGCAGAUGCCGAUGGUCAGUACAUAUUAAUGGAGUCUCCUGCAUCACCACAGUCUGUCGUAAUUGAUGAGGAUGAAGAGACCGCAUCUGCAGUGAAAGAUAUGGACAGACUUAGACCCAUCGAGUAUUGCUGGGGAUGUUGCAGCAGAUGCGGGUCAAUGCUGCUCCACCAUGAACCUUGGUAAGAACAUUUCUGCAGAUAAAUUAUCUCAUGUUAAUAUUUGGUUUUUAUUGCAAACAUCAAAUGCCAAUCAUGUGGAAUUACUUUGUCUUUUUAGUUGCCUGCCAAAGAGCUGUACAAGGUCUAUCUCCAGCGUAAAAUACAUAAAUGUGACCUUGAAAUAGAAUUGCUGGAGCAUCAGCUGAAGGUGAGACACAUGUGAAUAUUUAAUCUGUUAAUUGUUUAUGACGAUUAAGCAAUAAAGUCACUUUAUUUCAUUACAGCAAAUAAAGGAAUAAAAAAUAUCAGCCUUUGAGUCAUGUUUUUUUAAAUUGGAUGUUUUUAUUGGAUGUAAUGUAGGCUGAUCAUGUCCCGUACCACCCUGCCAUCUCUUUAGUCAGCAUGAUCCAAUGGGGAAUCCUCUGGGCCGUCUUCUUCAAGAGGUGGGGGGGGCCCUCUCACCUCUCAUUGUGGCGAUGUUGUGCAGUACGGCACAUGCAGCUAUGAUGUCACAUGCCCUCUCUGAGCCCACGUAGGCAUUGAAAUCGAGCUUUCAGGAUUUGUAUGGUCUUCUCCACCCUGGCCCGUGUUCUGCUGUGUGCCAGGUUAAAAUGUACCUGUGGUCCAGGCUGAGGUUCAGGGUAGGGGAUCAUAAAGAAUGGCAGGCAAGGAUACCCCCUGUCCCCCAGUAAGUAGCCAUUGAAAUGUCCUAUAAUAGCAGUUAUAUUGUAUUAUUUACAUCACAUUAAAUGCAUGACAUUGUAUAAGGAAUGUAAAGCAAUUUAUACCCUGGUGGAAUUUGGGACACAAUGAUGACUCUCUAAAUAUGCUGGCAUCAUGAACAAAACAGGGCCAUUUGGCUUCUAUGUUUGUGACGAGGUGGGUGGCAUCACAUAAUACCUAGAUAGUGGGGAACAGUAAUCAGUCUGAAUAAAGGAUGAUAGGACUUAUGAUACAACUGCCAUAUCUUGUUACCUGCACAUUGAUGCUAUGCAUGGACUUCCUAUUAACAUAAUCUCCUUCAUUGACUGAAGGAGAUUUAAUAGGAAGGUGAGUUCCAUCCAUGCACCCAAUCACAUUUGGGUGCAUGGAUGCAUGUGACUGAAAAAAGUAUUGAUAUAUUGAUAAAGCAGUGUGUUACUCUGUCAAAUAAAAUUAACGAACAAACCUGCUAUUCUGUGGAAUUCCUCUUUAAUGACCCUCAGUGGUUUAUGGCCAGGGAACUGCACAAAACAUCCCAGGAGGCGUUUGAGUGCCAGACAUGCUGUCCGAACUGCCCGACACACAGUUGCCUUUCCCACAUGUUCUGCAUUACCCAGGCUGUAGAAAAAACUCCCAGUCGCAAAAAAACGAAAGGCAAAACAUAAAAUGUUCUCGGUGCUCAGCGCUGCUCCCCGAUGUGUCACGUUCGAUACGAACGGUUUCAAAAGAUUUGUUAAAUAAAUUAAGGAGUCUCUAGAAAAACGAUAACACUCCAGUAAAUAAUCAUUUUAAAAAGAAAAAACAUCGAUAUAUAUUCUU
Molecule: non-coding RNA, 2711 nt
Organism: Oryzias latipes (Japanese medaka)
Lineage: Eukaryota; Metazoa; Chordata; Actinopteri; Beloniformes; Adrianichthyidae
Source: RefSeq, a predicted model, not a curated record